UGGGGAAUUUUGCGCAAUGGGCUAACGCCUGACGCAGCAACGCCGCGUGGAGGAUGAAGGUCCUUGGAUCGUAAACUCCUGUCAGCAGGGAAAAAGGGAUUGGGCCUAAUACGUCCGAAACUUGAUUGUACCUGCAGAGGAAGCCCCGGCUAACUCUGUGCCAGCAGCCGCGGUAAUACAGAGGGGGCGAGCGUUAUUCGGAAUUAUUGGGCGUAAAGGGCGCGUAGGCGGCCGUUCAAGUGAUGGGUGAAAGCCCUCGGCUUAACCGAGGAACUGCCUGUCAGACUGGAUGGCUUGAGACCGGGAGAGGUGAGUGGAAUUCCCAGUGUAGCGGUGAAAUGCGUAGAUAUUGGGAGGAACACCAGUGGCGAAGGCGGCUCACUGGACCGGAACUGACGCUGAGGCGCGAAAGCGUGGGGAGCAAACAGG
This 429-nucleotide ribosomal RNA is filed under the name uncultured bacterium. RNAcentral's name for it is "bacterial SSU rRNA". It matches the Rfam family "Bacterial small subunit ribosomal RNA", at positions 355 to 776 of the family's 1533-position model. The record is from RNAcentral.